This 31-nucleotide ribosomal RNA is filed under the name Ogataea pini. Its description in RNAcentral is "partial 26S ribosomal RNA". The record is from RNAcentral. Lineage: Eukaryota; Fungi; Ascomycota; Pichiomycetes; Pichiales; Pichiaceae.
CCUCAAUCAGGUAGACUACCGCUGAACUUAA